GUGCUCGUUUUGGCAGCACAUAUACUAAAAUUGGAAUAAUACAGAGAAGAUCAGCAUGGCUCCUGUGCAAGGAUAACAAGAAAAAAAAAAAAAGGAAAGAAAGAAAA
This is a small nuclear RNA of Suncus etruscus (white-toothed pygmy shrew), 107 nucleotides long. NCBI's taxonomy places the organism in Eukaryota, Metazoa, Chordata, Mammalia, Eulipotyphla, Soricidae. The record is from RefSeq and is a predicted model, not a curated record.